This 301-nucleotide ribosomal RNA is filed under the name uncultured bacterium. RNAcentral describes it as "partial 16S ribosomal RNA". It matches the Rfam family "Bacterial small subunit ribosomal RNA", at positions 509 to 808 of the family's 1533-position model. The record is from RNAcentral.
CAGCCGCCACGGUAAUACGUAGGUGGCGAGCGUUGUCCGGAUUUAUUGGGCGUAAAGGGAGUGUAGGCGGUCUUUUAAGUCUGAUGUGAAAGCCCACGGCUCAACCGUGGAGGGUCAUUGGAAACUGGGAGACUUGAGUGCAGAAGAGGAGAGCGGAAUUCCAUGUGUAGCGGUGAAAUGCGUAGAUAUAUGGAGGAACACCAGUGGCGAAGGCGGCUCUCUGGUCUGUAACUGACGCUGAGGCUCGAAAGCGUGGGGAGCAAACAGGAUUAGAUACCCCAGUAGUCCCUGUCCUUAUACC